RNAcentral lists this ribosomal RNA (411 nucleotides) under Escherichia coli. RNAcentral's name for it is "partial 23S ribosomal RNA". It matches the Rfam family "Bacterial large subunit ribosomal RNA", at positions 1920 to 2330 of the family's 2925-position model. Lineage: Bacteria; Pseudomonadati; Pseudomonadota; Gammaproteobacteria; Enterobacterales; Enterobacteriaceae. The record is from RNAcentral.
CCGGUAAACGGCGGCCGUAACUAUAACGGUCCUAAGGUAGCGAAAUUCCUUGUCGGGUAAGUUCCGACCUGCACGAAUGGCGUAAUGAUGGCCAGGCUGUCUCCACCCGAGACUCAGUGAAAUUGAACUCGCUGUGAAGAUGCAGUGUACCCGCGGCAAGACGGAAAGACCCCGUGAACCUUUACUAUAGCUUGACACUGAACAUUGAGCCUUGAUGUGUAGGAUAGGUGGGAGGCUUUGAAGUGUGGACGCCAGUCUGCAUGGAGCCGACCUUGAAAUACCACCCUUUAAUGUUUGAUGUUCUAACGUUGGCCCCUGAUCGGGGUUGCGGACAGUGUCUGGUGGGUAGUUUGACUGGGGCGGUCUCCUCCUAAAGAGUAACGGAGGAGCACGAAGGUUGGCUAAUCCUGG